UGGGGAAUAUUGCACAAUGGGCGCAAGCCUGAUGCAGCCAUGCCGCGUGUGUGAAGAAGGCCUUCGGGUUGUAAAGCACUUUCAGCGAGGAGGAAGGUGGUGAGCUUAAUACGCUCAUCAAUUGACGUUACUCGCAGAAGAAGCACCGGCUAACUCCGUGCCAGCAGCCGCGGUAAUACGGAGGGUGCAAGCGUUAAUCGGAAUUACUGGGCGUAAAGCGCACGCAGGCGGUUUGUUAAGUCAGAUGUGAAAUCCCCGGGCUCAACCUGGGAACUGCAUUUGAAACUGGCAAGCUAGAGUCUCGUAGAGGGGGGUAGAAUUCCAGGUGUAGCGGUGAAAUGCGUAGAGAUCUGGAGGAAUACCGGUGGCGAAGGCGGCCCCCUGGACGAAGACUGACGCUCAGGUGCGAAAGCGUGGGGCAGCAAACAGGAUUAGAUACCCUGGUAGUCCACGCUGUAAACGAUGUCGAUUUUGGAGGUUGUGCCCUUGAGGCGUGGCUUCCGGAGCUAACGCGUU
Molecule: ribosomal RNA, 516 nt
Filed under: uncultured bacterium
Lineage: Bacteria
Description: partial 16S ribosomal RNA
Rfam family: Bacterial small subunit ribosomal RNA
Source: RNAcentral